Molecule: ribosomal RNA, 300 nt
Filed under: uncultured Alphaproteobacteria bacterium
Lineage: Bacteria; Pseudomonadati; Pseudomonadota; Alphaproteobacteria
Description: bacterial SSU rRNA
Rfam family: Bacterial small subunit ribosomal RNA
Source: RNAcentral
CUGGAGCACAGGUGCUGCAUGGCUGUCGUCAGCUCGUGUCGUGAGAUGUUGGGUUAAGUCCCGCAACGAGCGCAACCCUCGCCCUUAGUUGCCAGCAUUCAGUUGGGCACUCUAAGGGGACUGCCGGUGAUAAGCCGAGAGGAAGGUGGGGAUGACGUCAAGUCCUCAUGGCCCUUACGGGCUGGGCUACACACGUGCUACAAUGGUGGUGACAGUGGGCAGCGAAGGAGCGACCCCGAGCUAAUCUCCAAAAGCCAUCUCAGUUCGGAUUGCACUCUGCAACUCGAGUGCAUGAAGUUG